CCCCUCUUUGGAUUGUACCUGGAGAGUUUCCGGUACUCUACCAGUCUCAAUUAAGGGAGGGAGAGUCAAGCAGAGAAAUACCCAUUCCAUUCCUGGCUUGGGCAGUGGCUAGAGAGUGGAAGGCAAUAUGCUACAAGU
Ornithorhynchus anatinus (platypus) is the source of this 138-nucleotide small nucleolar RNA. Lineage: Eukaryota; Metazoa; Chordata; Mammalia; Monotremata; Ornithorhynchidae. The record is from RefSeq and is a predicted model, not a curated record.